This is a non-coding RNA of Ustilago sp. UG-2017b, 89 nucleotides long. The record is from the annotation of a GenBank genome assembly. NCBI's taxonomy places the organism in Eukaryota, Fungi, Basidiomycota, Ustilaginomycetes, Ustilaginales, Ustilaginaceae.
GGUUUCGUGGCGCAGUUGGUUAGCGCGUCUCCUUAACAGUUUCCAUCUGCUUUCGGAGGAGGUCGCCGGUUCGAACCCGGCUGAAAUCA